GACUUGGCAAUGCAAGAAGCCUGUUUCCUCCUGCAAUGCCUCGCUUGGCACAAAUAGAGAGAGAGAAAGUGGAGGGCUUUGAACUGAUUAUGCUUGGUAAUUUUGAUUGAACUGUUUUCCAACAAGGCAAACAGAACAUCCCCGUCCUUUCAUUGUGUAUAAACCUCCUCUGGCUUGUCUCCUCCUGAAGACCCGAGCACCUGAGCCAGUUUACGAUGAGUGAUGAGCCCUCAUCUCCAUCGCCCCUGGACAGUCUUCUUUCAGUAAGAGGAGACUGGCUCUGAAAGGACUAUUAUCUCAGUGCUGCCUGCUGUACAGUCACAGUUGCCCACUGUGUGUGGGCUCGCUCCUGUCUGUCUGCAUCUGCUGCCGUGUCUAUCUGUUCCGGCCUGCUCGGGGGAUCGCCUGUCAAACUGACUGGCUGUAGACAGGCCUGGCUCAGCUGGUGCAUCUGGCACUGCUGCAGUAAACACUGACUGCUGGGUUGUUUCCCCCCGCUCGGUUACAAACACAAUAAAAGGUUUGGUGCAAUAUGAUAUCAUCCUAGAGCAACGACAUAUCAGUUUAAUGUUGCAUUCAAAAGAGAAGACAAUAUGUAAUGAUGUGGGCCAAACAGAAUAACCAUUUGAAUCUUUUU
Labrus mixtus (cuckoo wrasse) is the source of this 637-nucleotide long non-coding RNA. RefSeq lists it as uncharacterized. The transcript has 3 exons. NCBI's taxonomy places the organism in Eukaryota, Metazoa, Chordata, Actinopteri, Labriformes, Labridae. The record is from RefSeq and is a predicted model, not a curated record.